GACUAUAUCACUUGAUGCAGUAUUCUGAGAUGAUGUUUGUACUCAGGGAUAUAUAUCUGCAUUCUAUGGAAUAAAUUGUCAAAGAAUGUGAAUUGAGUCAAUCUCAAUAUAUUUUAGUUCUUAAUCUUUUAAUUUUAUGAUGUUAUAAUGAUUAGACUUGCAUUUGUGAUUUUGUAUACUAUCAGGAGAAAGGGAUUUUGAUAGUUGAUUGUUCACAUCUCAGUUGAA
Solanum tuberosum (potato) is the source of this 228-nucleotide long non-coding RNA. RefSeq lists it as uncharacterized. NCBI's taxonomy places the organism in Eukaryota, Viridiplantae, Streptophyta, Magnoliopsida, Solanales, Solanaceae. The record is from RefSeq and is a predicted model, not a curated record. The transcript has 2 exons.